This 96-nucleotide transfer RNA is filed under the name Deltaproteobacteria bacterium. RNAcentral describes it as "tRNA-Sec". It matches the Rfam family "Selenocysteine transfer RNA". Lineage: Bacteria; Pseudomonadati; Myxococcota; Myxococcia. The record is from RNAcentral.
GGCAAGGUUGGUGACUGGUGUCGCCACCGGGCUUCAAACCCGGAUACGGGCAGAUAACACUGUCCGCGGCAGGUUCGAUUCCUGCUCUUGCCGCCA